AAUAAGUAAAUUAUAUGGAGAGACAAGGAGAGGCGAGAGCAGGUACCCGGUGAAAAAUUCUGAGAGUGAAGUAGCGUGGAUGAGGGACAAUGAAGACAGUUGGUCGCUAAAGCCACUGCCUUCCUGAGAUGACCCAGGGACAGCCAGUCUCACCCCCAGACAUCCAACCUCUCACCUCUGUGAUGACCCGGUGUCCAGGCACAGACACACCCAGAGUCCUCCCAACCAGCUGAUUAGCACCUCACCAAGGAAAGGAAAUCAAGGUGUACUCUCUUCAGACUCUAGAUUUCCCUUCCUCCUCCUUUUAUUCAUGUUACAUAAAUUCCUGUUUUUAUCUCUGUUGGAUGAAAUCAGUCUAUUCUCUGGUUUCCUUUGUCUACAAUUUAAAGAGGGAGCCGACUAUUAACUUGGUGUCUCUGAGCUAUUGUUGGCCAAGCUCCCCUUAGAUGGGGUUAAUGAAGAAGCCUCCUUUUCCAAGGUGAUAGCUCAGAAGCAACUUCAAGAAUGAGUGACAAUGAGCCUACCCAGUGGAAAUGUGGGGAAAGUCAGCCAGAGUUCAUCUACUGACUUCAGUCUGGCAGAUGAGAGGCUUGGGUUUACCCCUCCGGUGGGUAAUGGAGAGAGAUGGAAUGUGCCACACGAAGCCCCACUAUGACUUUCUAUAAGGCCUGGCUCCUGUGCUGAAAUGAGAACAUACAUCCUAGCCGGGCAUGGUGGCUCACUCAGUAACUUUAUGGAUUUUGUGAAGAAAACAGGCAUUUGCGCUUCAAAGUGGGAAUGGGGGACCACUCACAACUUCCUGUACAAACACAGUGGCAUCCGGGACAAGAUAAUGAGCAGCCGGAAGCACCUCCACCUGGUGGAUGCUGGUUUAGCCAUCAACACUCCCUUCCCACUCGUGCUGCCCCCGACGCGGGAGGUUCACCUCAUCCUCUCCUUCGACUUCAGUGCCGGAGAUCCUUUCGAGACCAUCCGGGCUACCACUGACUAUUGCCGCCGCCACAAGAUCCCCUUUCCCCAAGUAGAAGAGGCUGAGCUGGAUUUGUGGUCCAAGGCCCCCGCCAGCUGCUACAUCCUGAAAGGAGAAACUGGACCAGUGGUGAUGCAUUUUCCCCUGUUCAACAUAGAUGCCUGUGGAGGUGAUAUUGAGGCAUGGAGUGACACAUACGACACAUUCAAGCUCGCUGACACCUACACUCUAGAUGUGGUGGUGCUACUCUUGGCAUUAGCCAAGAAGAAUGUCAGGGAAAACAAGAAGAAGAUCCUUAGAGAGUUGAUGAACGUGGCCGGGUAGGUGGGGACACAGAGCCAAACCAUAUCUCUGUGAAAGGAAAAUGAAAUCUCAGGACCCCAAUUCACUAUGCCAAAAGGAAAAACUUAAGCUGUGGCUGGGCACUGUGGCUCAUGUCUGUAAUCCCAGCACUUUGGGAAGCCAAGACAGGAGGAUCGCUUGAGCCCAGGAGUUCAAGAUCUGCCUGGGCAACAUAGUGAGACCAAGUCUCUACAAAUAAUUUUAAAAAUUAGCUGGGUGUGGUAGCACAAGCCUAUAGUCUCAGCUACUCAGGAGGCUGAGGUGGGAGGAUUGCCGGAGCCCAGGAGUUUGAGGCUGCAGUGAGCUAUGAUGGUACCACCCCACUCCAGGCUGGGCGACAGAGCAAGACCUUGCCUCUAAAAAAAAAAAAAAAAAAAAAAAAAAUUAAACUGAAAGCUUAAUUAAGCUGAGUCAUGCAAGAAACUGUCUUUCCUUUUGUUCCUAAGCCACAGAUAAAAG
This 1771-nucleotide small RNA is filed under the name Pan troglodytes (chimpanzee). Its description in RNAcentral is "processed transcript". The record is from RNAcentral. Lineage: Eukaryota; Metazoa; Chordata; Mammalia; Primates; Hominidae.